AAACGAUGUCGAUUUGGAGUUUGUUGCCUAGAGUGAUGGGCUCCGAAGCUAACGCGAUAAAUCGACCGCCUGGGGAGUACGGCCGCAAGGUUAAAACUCAAAUGAAUUGACGGGGGCCCGCACAAGCGGUGGAGCAUGUGGUUUAAUUCGAUGCAACGCGAAGAACCUUACCUGGUCUUGACAUCCAUAGAAUUCUGCAGAGAUGUGGGAGUGCCUUCGGGAACUAUGAGACAGGUGCUGCAUGGCUGUCGUCAGCUCGUGUUGUGAAAUGUUGGGUUAAGUCCCGCAACGAGCGCAACCCUUAUUCUUUGUUGCCAGCGAUUUGGUCGGGAACUCAAAGGAGACUGCCGUUGAUAAAGCGGAGGAAGGUGGGGACGACGUCAAGUCAUCAUGGCCCUUACGACCAGGGCUACACACGUGCUACAAUGGCGUAUACAAGGGAAGCGAAGGUGCGAGCUGGAGCGGAUCUCAUAAAGUACGUCUAAGUUCGGAUUGGAGUCUGCAACUCGACUCCAUGAAGUCGGAAUCGCUAGUAAUCGUAGAUCAGAAUGCUACGGUGAAUACGUUCCCGGGCCUUGUACACACCGCCCGUCACACCAUGGGAGUGGGUUGCACCAGAAGUAGAUAGCUUAACCGCGAGGGGGGCGUUUACCACGGUGUGAUUCAUGACUGGGGUGAAGUCGUAACAAGGUAACCA
RNAcentral lists this ribosomal RNA (697 nucleotides) under uncultured Enterobacteriaceae bacterium. RNAcentral's name for it is "bacterial SSU rRNA". It matches the Rfam family "Bacterial small subunit ribosomal RNA", at positions 804 to 1502 of the family's 1533-position model. Lineage: Bacteria; Pseudomonadati; Pseudomonadota; Gammaproteobacteria; Enterobacterales; Enterobacteriaceae. The record is from RNAcentral.